This 488-nucleotide ribosomal RNA is filed under the name uncultured bacterium. RNAcentral's name for it is "bacterial SSU rRNA". It matches the Rfam family "Bacterial small subunit ribosomal RNA", at positions 28 to 507 of the family's 1533-position model. The record is from RNAcentral.
GAUAAACGCUGGCGGCGUGCCUUACGCAUGCAAGUCGAACGAAGCCUUGCCCUUCGGGGCAAGUGACUGAGUGGCAAACGGCUGAGUAACACGUAGGCGACCUACCCCGGGGUGGGGGAUAACCCGGUGAAAGCCGGGCUAAUACCGCAUACAGCCACCGGUUCGGACCGGUGGGCAAAACUCCGGUGCCCUGGGAGGGGCCUGCGUCCGAUUAGCUAGUUGGUGGGGGUAACAGCUCACCAAGGCGACGAUCGGUAGCUGGUCUGAGAGGAUGGUCAGCCACACUGGGACUGAGAUACGGCCCAGACUCCUACGGGAGGCAGCAGUCGAGAGGCUUCGGCAAUGGGGGGAAACCCUGACCGAGCGACGCCGCGUGGAGGAUGAAGGCUUUCGGGUCGUAAACUCCUUUCAGUGGGGACGAACAUUUGUCGGGCUAAUACCCCGGCGAUUUGACGGUACCCACAGAAGAAGCGCCGGCUAACUCCGUG